RNAcentral lists this ribosomal RNA (253 nucleotides) under uncultured bacterium. Its description in RNAcentral is "partial 16S ribosomal RNA". It matches the Rfam family "Bacterial small subunit ribosomal RNA", at positions 524 to 776 of the family's 1533-position model. The record is from RNAcentral.
UACAGAGGUCCCAAGCGUUGUUCGGAUUCAUUGGGCGUAAAGGGUGCGUAGGCGGCGCGGUAAGUCGGGUGUGAAAUCUCGGAGCUUAACUCCGAAACUGCAUUCGAUACUGCCGUGCUUGAGGACUGGAGAGGAGACUGGAAUUUACGGUGUAGCGGUGAAAUGCGUAGAUAUCGAGAGGAACACCUGCGGCGAAGGCGGGUUGCUGGGCUGACACUGACGCUGAUGCGCGAAAGCGUGGGGAGCGAACAGG